Molecule: ribosomal RNA, 315 nt
Filed under: Triticum aestivum (bread wheat)
Lineage: Eukaryota; Viridiplantae; Streptophyta; Magnoliopsida; Poales; Poaceae
Description: partial small subunit ribosomal RNA
Source: RNAcentral
AUGCGGACGGAGCCUGGAGGCCACGUCGUGUCAUGUGCGUGGAAGGGCGAGUGGAACAAGCUGCCGGCGUCAGAGAGCACGUGUCUAAAGGCAAGGCAAGGCGUGCGCACCCCUGGCAUGGCCGAGGUGGACAUUGUGGACGGCGAGACGGGCUGUAGCGUGCCCCGAGACGGCACCACGAUGGGCGAGAUCGUGGUCUGUGGCGGGUGCGUCAUGCUGGGGUACCUAAACAAUAGAGAGGCAACAAGGGCGGCGAUCCGGGACGCCGGGUGGUUCUACACGGGCGACAUUGGGGUGAUGCACCCGGACGGGUAA